AUGGAAUCAGGUGAAAACAACAUGGGCUCGAAUGAUGGACCAAACAGCAAAGCUAACUUGGCUGCGAGGCAACGCUUACGGUGGACAGAUGAGUUGCAUGAACAAUUUGUGGAGGCUGUUACUCAACUUGGCGGUCCUGAUAGAGCAACUCCUAAAGGAGUUUUGAGAAUUAUGGGUACACCAGGAUUAACAAUAUACCAUGUGAAAAGUCACCUACAGAAAUACAGGCUAGCAAAGUACAUUCCCGACUCUUCAGCUGAUGGUAACAAGGCUGAUAACAAAGAUCCAGGGGAUUCACUAGCAGGACUUGAUGGAUCCUCUGGAAUGCAGAUAUCUGAAGCCCUGAAGCUGCAGAUGGAGGUCCAAAAGCGGUUGCAUGAACAGCUCGAAGUACAAAGGCAGCUGCAGCUGCGAAUCGAGGCACAGGGAAAGUACCUUAAGAAAAUCAUAGAAGAGCAGCAGCGUUUCGGUGGCGGUGGUAUAAAGUCUGAAACACCUGGUGCAGGAGCUACUGUCACAGUGUCGAGCGAUCAGUUCCCCGAUUCUGAGAGGACAGACCCCUCGACUCCUGCACCGACAUCUGAAUCUGCAUCUCAAGGUGGGGCUUUCAAAAGAGACAGUGGAAGCCAGACUGAAGCAAUCAAGAGCCCAUGUCACGAUGAACCGCUGCUAACUGCAGAUUCCAACUGUCAUCCCGGUUCUCCUACUCUCAGUCCGAAGCAUGAGAGGGCAGCAAAGAGACAGCGAGGUAGCGACGCUGAAUUCCCGGAGGCCGAGUUAUCCCUUCCGCAGCAUAUCUUCGAGUCGAGCUCAGGGCCAGAGUUCCAGCAAUGUUCGGUGCCCUACUACUCGGGUCAUUAG
RNAcentral lists this ribosomal RNA (861 nucleotides) under Triticum aestivum (bread wheat). Its description in RNAcentral is "partial small subunit ribosomal RNA". Lineage: Eukaryota; Viridiplantae; Streptophyta; Magnoliopsida; Poales; Poaceae. The record is from RNAcentral.